This 255-nucleotide ribosomal RNA is filed under the name uncultured bacterium. RNAcentral describes it as "partial 16S ribosomal RNA". It matches the Rfam family "Bacterial small subunit ribosomal RNA", at positions 524 to 776 of the family's 1533-position model. The record is from RNAcentral.
UACGAAGGGGGGCUAGCGUUGCUCGGAAUUACUGGGCGUAAAGCGCACGUAGGCGGAUCUUUAAGUCAGGGGUGAAAUCCUGGAGCUCAACUCCAGAACUGCCUUUGAUACUGAAGGACUUGUAGUUCGGGAGAGGUGAGUGGAACUGCGAGUGUAGAGGUGAAAUUCGUAGAUAUUCGCAAGAACACCAGUGGCGAAGGCGGCUCACUGGCCCGAUACUGACGCUGAUGCACGAAAGCGUGGGGAGCAAACAGG